AUCGCUCCUUUCGAUGAAUGAUAAAAUUGGAUUGAUACAGAGAAGAUUAGGAUGGCCCCUACAUGGCCCCUGCACAAGGAUGACACACACAAAUCAAGAAAUUGUCCAAGUAUAA
Molecule: non-coding RNA, 115 nt
Organism: Picea glauca (white spruce)
Lineage: Eukaryota; Viridiplantae; Streptophyta; Pinopsida; Pinales; Pinaceae
Source: Rfam